UCGCCGGCAAAAUCCGGUGACGGGAUUAGCACCCCGGUUGAUAUAGGGCAUGUAAGUGCCAGCGUGAUGCUGGCUUUUU
RNAcentral lists this small RNA (79 nucleotides) under Vibrio aerogenes. RNAcentral's name for it is "isrK Hfq binding RNA". It matches the Rfam family "isrK Hfq binding RNA". Lineage: Bacteria; Pseudomonadati; Pseudomonadota; Gammaproteobacteria; Vibrionales; Vibrionaceae. RNAcentral also lists the same sequence under 1 other name. The record is from RNAcentral.